This is a transfer RNA of 82 nucleotides. It matches the Rfam family "tRNA". From Rfam's summary of the family: Transfer RNA (tRNA) molecules are approximately 80 nucleotides in length. Their secondary structure includes four short double-helical elements and three loops (D, anti-codon, and T loops). The record is from Rfam.
AUCCGAGUGCUGAAAUUGGUAGACAGGAUAAUCUUAAGUUUUAUUGAUAUUAGUCGUGUGGGUUCGAAUCCCUCCUCGGAUA